GUAUAAACUGGUAUUUUAUGUGACAUUAUUCCCAUGGUGGAGUCUCUUGUGCUAACAAGGGACUCAAACCAGUUAGUGCUGCCAACACAGCCCGUUUACUGGUUUCUACAGGGGGAGAGAGGCUGAACUCCCCCUUGUAGAACCAUGUUAAACAUGGUAAUGAGCCCAGAAAUGAAAAUUAUUUUAUGUGGGAUCAACAAAAAAUCCCUGCCUGUCAGUUGGGACAGGGGAGUUUGGGGGGGAUGACUAUUCUUAAUUGUUUAAAUAUUGACUGCAGUAUAGGACGAGGGACCUUUCAU
Molecule: non-coding RNA, 299 nt
Organism: Pelobates cultripes (western spadefoot toad)
Lineage: Eukaryota; Metazoa; Chordata; Amphibia; Anura; Pelobatidae
Source: the annotation of a GenBank genome assembly